Long non-coding RNA from Etheostoma cragini (Arkansas darter), 220 nucleotides. RefSeq lists it as uncharacterized. The transcript has 3 exons. The record is from RefSeq and is a predicted model, not a curated record. NCBI's taxonomy places the organism in Eukaryota, Metazoa, Chordata, Actinopteri, Perciformes, Percidae.
GGUAUUUACAUAAGAGUGGCAUGACACAGUCAUGACACAUGAACGCAAACCCUAACUUGUCAUGACAAAACCGAAUUCCACUUACUAAAAGCAGCGUUAUGUCAUACACGUUUAUGACUUGUGUAAUAUUCAUGACGCAUUCAUGACUGUGUCAUGUCACCUUUAUGUAGCUACCUUCAAGUGAAGUGUAACCGUCAUUUUUUUUUAUGAUUUUAUGACC